GAUGAAGAACGCAGCGAAAUGCGAUAAGUAAUGUGAAUUGCAGAAUUCAGUGAAUCAUCGAAUCUUUGAACGCACAUUGCGCCCCCUGGUAUUCCGGGGGGCAUGCCUGUUCGAGCGUCAUUUCACCACUCAAGCCUCGCUUGGUAUUGGGCAACGCGGUCCGCCGCGUGCCUCAAAUCGACCGGCUGGGUCUUCUGUCCCCUAAGCGUUGUGGAAACUUUCGCUAAAGGGUGUUCGGGAGGCUACGCCGUAAAACAACCCCAUUUCUAAGGCUGACCUCGGAUCAGGUAGGGAUACCCGCUGAACUUAAGCAUAUCAAUAAGCGGAGGA
This 330-nucleotide unclassified non-coding RNA is filed under the name soil metagenome. RNAcentral describes it as "partial contains 5.8S ribosomal RNA, internal transcribed spacer 2, and large subunit ribosomal RNA". The stretch from base 1 to 120 matches the Rfam family "5.8S ribosomal RNA", at positions 35 to 154 of the family's 154-position model. The record is from RNAcentral.